AGGAUCGGUGAUGCAACGGCUGCCUAUUGCCCUACACCUGCCGACGAGCCCCUGACAACUGGGCGCUAAACACAAUCGCAAUGGGCAAAGUUUAUAAACUGUUUACCGAGCUGCCUAGAUUUAUUGCCGGUGAAAUUAUCCACCCACCUAACCGGCCGACUGUUCGGAUCUGUCUAUAGGCAUAAUACAGUUUCUCCUCCUUGGCAACAUUUCAAAUUGAAGGCAACGGGGGCGGCAAAAGUCGCGUGUUCUGGCGAAAUUUUCAAAUUGUGCGAGUUGGCAUUUAUUAUAGUUUCCUAGGCAUUAUAUAGUUUUCCGCAUUUA
Drosophila ficusphila is the source of this 324-nucleotide long non-coding RNA. RefSeq lists it as uncharacterized. The record is from RefSeq and is a predicted model, not a curated record. Lineage: Eukaryota; Metazoa; Arthropoda; Insecta; Diptera; Drosophilidae. The transcript is spliced from 2 exons.